This 541-nucleotide transfer RNA is filed under the name uncultured cyanobacterium. RNAcentral's name for it is "partial 16S-23S ribosomal RNA intergenic spacer". The stretch from base 212 to 284 matches the Rfam family "tRNA". Lineage: Bacteria; Bacillati; Cyanobacteriota. The record is from RNAcentral.
CAGGGAGACAACAAAAUGUUUAAUAUUAUUAUUUUGUCACCUUAGGUCGAUCGGUAUCUCACGUUCUUAAUUUAUUAAGAAUUUCAUUUCCUAAGUUUUUCUAGGUCACACCCAUUAUUUUUCCUGGGCCAUUAGCUCAGGUGGUUAGAGCGCACCCCUGAUAAGGGUGAGGUCCCUGGUUCAAGUCCAGGAUGGCCCAUAUCUCUAUGUUGGGGGUAUAGCUCAGUUGGUAGAGCGCCUGCUUUGCAAGCAGGAUGUCAGCGGUUCGAGUCCGCUUACCUCCACUGAUUACCACCUCUUCCAUAACCGGUAGAAAGGAAAUGUUUUGAGUUGUGAUCAAAUUCUGAAAGAAUCUAGCUUCCUAAUGAAAUCAUUAAGAUGCUGGACUCAUUGAAUUAAUUUCAUUGUUUUCAGAGAACCUUGACAACUGCAUAGAUUAUUUUUAAAGACAAUAAGCAUCUUUAAUGAUGCAGACUUAUUAUUUGUGCGAAUGCAUUAAUAACAAUUCUAUUAAGCUGAUGCUUCAAUUUUUGAAGUUAUU